Molecule: long non-coding RNA, 718 nt
Organism: Humulus lupulus (European hop)
Lineage: Eukaryota; Viridiplantae; Streptophyta; Magnoliopsida; Rosales; Cannabaceae
Exons: 3
Source: RefSeq, a predicted model, not a curated record
CGUGCUAAAGGCAGCGUAUUGUACGGUUUCAGGGGAGGUCUAGCUGGAAUCAUGAAGGGCAAGUAUGUGGAACUUACACUAGAAUAUAUUUACCUGUACAGAAACCAGGGUUGUUUCUGCUCCUGGCAAGGUUUUGAUGACUGGGGGAUAUCUUAUUUUGGAGAGACCGAAUCCAGGGCUUGUUCUCAGUACAAGCGCUCGUUUUUACGCCAUUGUUAAACCUCUUCUCAAAGAAAUUAAGCCCGAUAGUUGGGCCUGGGCAUGGACAGAUGUGAAAGUGACAUCUCCUCAGCUUAAUAGAGAAAGCAUGUAUAAGUUGUCAAGGAAAAAUCUGACGCUUCAGAGUGUUUCAAGGCAAGUUUAUACUGGGUAAUGUUAAGUUUGUAUUUUAUUUGCUUAAUCAGUUUUUUUUUUUAAAUCUAGACAUGGCUAUAUAUCUUAUUGCCAUCUCACUGGUUAUACGAUCACAGAGAAAACUGGCUCUGGUUCAAAGAUGUCAACUUUGAAUGAUCAUCCCUCACUCUGCUUUGUUACUAAGUGUCGCUAAUAGAAUUAUCAUUCAACUAGCAUUAAAUUGUUAAUUAAAUCAUGAAGAUCUCACUCACUAUAUCAUGAUUAAAAAUUCAGGGAGUCGGGGAACCCUUUUGUGGAGCAAGUAGUGUAGUACUCUGUGGCAGCUGCAUAUGCUACAGCUGACAAGGACAGGAAGGAAGUGUUA